GUACACGCUGUGACUAGCAUAUCAAUAAGCGGAGGAAAAGAGGGCCAGUACCUACGCUUAGGAUGUUGACACACGCGCGUGCUCGGCUCUAUACAUGACUCUGCGCAUAUCAAUAAGCGGAGGAAAAGCCAACUACCUACGCUUAGGAUGUUGACGCACGCGCGUGCUCGCGUCUAUACAUGACUCUGUGCAUAUCAAUAAGCGGAGGAAAAGGGGGCCAUUACCUACGCUUAGGAUGUUGACACACGCGCGUGCUCGGCUCUAUACAUGACUCUGCGCAUAUCAAUAAGCGGAGGAAAAGGGAAUCGGUCGCCCCAGUACCUACGCUUAGGAUGUUGACGCACGCGCGUGCUCGCGUCUAUACAUGACUCUGUGCAUAUCAAUAAGCGGAGGAAAAGGGGGCCAUUACCUACGCUUAGGAUGUUGACACACGCGCGUGCUCGACUCUAUACAUGACUCUGCGCAUAUCAAUAAGCGGAGGAAAAGGCUGCGGAACUGAACGACCGCUACCUACGCUUAGGAUGUUGACACACGCGCGUGCUCGAUCUAUACAUGACUCUGCGCAUAUCAAUAAGCGGAGGAAAGAGGGCUAUUACCUACGCUUAGGAUGUUGACGAGACUGUCGAUCUCAUCUAUACAUGACUCUGGCGCAUAUCAAUAAGCGGAGGAAAAGGCGUUUACCUACGCUUAGGAUGUUGAAGAUGUAGCACAUCAU
Molecule: ribosomal RNA, 715 nt
Filed under: uncultured Neocallimastigales
Lineage: Eukaryota; Fungi; Neocallimastigomycota; Neocallimastigomycetes; Neocallimastigales
Description: partial large subunit ribosomal RNA
Source: RNAcentral